GUCUUGAAGAAAUUUGGAGGGAAAAAAUUUUCCCCAGGCCAGAAAAAAAAAAAAAUAUCCCCUGGGUUGUGAGAAGAAAGAGGAGGAGAAGAAAGAGAGACCUGAGGAUGCUGAGAGCAGAUGGAACAUGAGCCCUGCUUCCUGGGGUGUCCCUGGGGAGUUAGGUCCUCAGAGAAUGAUGAGUGAGGACCAUCUUGCAAAAGAUGCCCGGGCCUGGAGCGUGCAGAGAACCUGACGGACCCAGAGGGGUGGUGGGACAGGGAGGACCUUUGAAGACGGAUAUUGGAUGACCCGAUACAUUGCACGAGGAAGCGAGGAGAUCCCCAGAAGGCCCGGAUGGAAGCUCAGGAUCAGAAAUCAACAUGGUCAAAGAGAAUGACAGUUUGGCUUCUUGAACCCCCAAGAUACGGGAGAUGCAAAGUUAACCGAAGCCUGCCGGGGGGUUGGGGACAGAUCAUCAGGAUCGGAUCUGCAUGGCACUCUGAAGGCUUUCCCUGCCGAGUCCUGCCUCCUCCCCCUUUAUCUUUCAUACUUAUCGCUCCCCAACAAACCCCUCUCUCCUAACUCCAACUCUGCAUUUGCUAACUCCUACCUCGGCAUCUGCUUCUUGGAGGACCCAGAUUGACACAGGUGGUGACUGUGGAUGAGAAGCUCUGUGCAUGUUUCUGAGCUUUUAUUUAGUCUUUGAAAAGCUAAGCCUAGAAUUCCUACAUCAAUUAAUGUUCAAUAUACCACCGACUUUGGACUUCAUACAGAGCAUUAAAAUGUUUAUAAGAGUUGUAUGUUUUCUGUGUAGUUUCCUGAAUCAAAUAAUCUUACGUCUUUUUUAAAAAGUACAAAAUUGUAGAAUAGUAUGGAAGAACUCUGAGAAACCGUAGAGAAAACACUACUUAAAUACUGGAGAUGAAAGAGAAUGCAACAUGGAAACCAAACCCUGCGACAACAAAGAUGGAUGGAUGACACUGAAAAAUAGGGGAAUUAUUGGUAACAAGACGACGGUUCUCUAGAAGUCCUGGUUAUGAGUAAUCAAUAAAGUCUGAUUAAUGUGGAAGAACAUAACAGUAAAAAUGCGUUACAGCUGAGCGUCUUGCAGUGCAAGCUCGUGUGAAUUAAGUGCUAAACACAUAAAAUAAAUAUAUGAAACUAGUUGUGUCUGCGGUAACUCACCCCACUGCAGGAGCUUUUAAGAGUUGCUAAUAAAAUAUAAC
RNAcentral lists this long non-coding RNA (1208 nucleotides) under Equus asinus (donkey). RNAcentral describes it as "lncRNA (ENSEASG00005036978.1)". Lineage: Eukaryota; Metazoa; Chordata; Mammalia; Perissodactyla; Equidae. The record is from RNAcentral.